AUGAACGCUGGCGGCGUGCCUAACACAUGCAAGUCGAACGAAGCAUCUUACCCGACAAAGAGGAGUGCUUGCACAAAUCUGCGUCAACCGAGAUGACUUAGUGGCGGACGGGUGAGUAACGCGUGGGUAACCUGCCGUAUGCAGGGGGAUAACAGUUAGAAAUGACUGCUAAUACCGCAUAAGCGCACACUACCGCAUGGUAGAGUGUGAAAAGCCUUAACGGCAUACGAUGGACCCGCGUCUGAUUAGCCAGUUGGCAGGGUAACGGCCUACCAAAGCGACGAUCAGUAGCCGGCCUGAGAGGGUGAACGGCCACAUUGGGACUGAGACACGGCCCAAACUCCUACGGGAGGCAGCAGUGGGGGAUAUUGCACAAUGGGGGAAACCCUGAUGCAGCGACGCCGCGUGAGUGAAGAAGUAUUUCGGUAUGUAAAGCUCUAUCAGCAGGGAAGAAAAUGACGGUACCUGACUAAGAAGCUCCGGCUAAAUACGUGCCAGCCGCCGC
Molecule: ribosomal RNA, 505 nt
Filed under: uncultured bacterium
Lineage: Bacteria
Description: bacterial SSU rRNA
Rfam family: Bacterial small subunit ribosomal RNA
Source: RNAcentral